Non-coding RNA from Picea glauca (white spruce), 121 nucleotides. The record is from Rfam. Lineage: Eukaryota; Viridiplantae; Streptophyta; Pinopsida; Pinales; Pinaceae.
ACAUGCCUACAACAUAGCGUUAAUGCACCAGAUCCCAAUAGAACUUCACAAUUAACCACGCUUAGUCUAGAGUAGUACUGGGAUGGGUGAUCACCCGAGAAAUCCUAGUGUUUUACAUGCC